AGAGAAAAGCGGACACUCUCGAAGAUGAUUCCACCGACAACGUGGACUCAAAGCCUGCCCAGUUCACAUGUCCCCACUGCACAGCUGUGCUCAGUGCACCUAAAAACUUAAAAAGACAUAUCAGAGAUGUCCAUAACAUUCACACUACACACAUGACAUGUAUAGAUGAAAUCCUGGAAAAGAAUGUGUACACCUAGAAAGAACCACAACUGCCAAACCUUAUGCAAAGCCAGCAAUCCUCACAUCUACUUCAAUACAGGACAUGCAGAGCAAAGGGCUGAUGUCAUCUGAGUGGGGUGUCAAAUGUGAAGAACUGAACAAUGCUGCAACCAAAUGUGGAGUGGAUAGUGUGUUUCCUGUUUUUGGAGAGGAGGGAAACUCCCAGCGGUGGCAUUUUUUUUUGAAUAUUCACAAAUGAAACAGACAACUGGUGUCAGUUUGGGAGGACGAGAGUGACAUUUGAUGCAGUGGCAGGAAAGUGGAACUGUCAGUGUCGUGGAACUGGACAAUCUCACCGUUGUAUCCAUCGUAUGAUGGGAAUGUGGUGGAUUUACCAGGAGUCCCCAGGCAAAAGCGCAUCCCAUGCCUGCAAGAGUUACCUGUGGAGCUCAGGACUCAGGAGAAACCACCACCACCAUUUAUCCCAUUUGAAAACACCUGCCCCUACUGUCCUGGGCCCACCCCUCCAGCACUUAAUGUCGCCAAAGUAACAACUCAAGCUAUGGUUUACGGGAUGACCUAUGUCAAAAAGGGUGUCUCUGUUGCCGUAAAAGACUGCCCAACAUGUGGAAAUGUUGUGAGGUUUCAGGAUUAUCAUUCUGGGUUCCAUAACUUCAACAACCGUGUCCUUUUAACACUGCCAUUAUGUGAGCUUCUGCUGUCUGGUCUGGCGAACAAGACAACUACUGGUCGCAUGCUGGACACUAUAUCGUUUUUUAAUGAUAAUCGGUACCACCACCAGAUAGUGCGGCGAGCUUUCCACCACUUCAUGUCAUUGACAAAUUUUCAGUUUGACUUCUCCUGCUACCAGUGUGGACACCAUCCAGCUGUGGUAGUAGCAGACGCUAACUGGAAACUGGCCUUUGAUGUCCCACUUGAGACAUUCAAAAGGCCUAAACCAGAUACAAUUUCUGACAAAAACUUAGAAGUUGAUAUUGUAAAGGCCUGGGCAGAUCUGGAUCGGUCAUUAAUUGCAGAAGGCCUCAUAUCAGGAACAUCUGUGGCAAACCCAUACUCCACCUCUCCUGGCCACUCCACUUUGGCACCAUGGAUGGGAGAGAACACCAGGGUUGGAAAUAUCCUCCCAAAAACAGAGGUGAAAAAGGCAUUAAGAAGAAAACCAGAUGACAUCAACCAUCCGACCAAAAAAAUAAAUGAGGACAUAAUCCUCGAAAUCAUUGAGGCAAAGAAGCCGCAAAAAAAGGACCUCCAGGAUGCUUGUAAUGCCCUUGGUGUGUCUUCAGAGGGGACCAUUGCAGACAUGAUGAACAGGCUUGAGGAACUGCUCAACUUCAAGGAUAUCUACCCGAAGCUUUUCUUGAAGUUACAGAAAGCUGGUGGUGGAGUCCUUCAUUUUUCUUGCGUACACGGGGUGGUAUACUACCUGAACUUUCUGUUCUGGACUGAGUCAGCAAGAGACCACACGGACGGUCUACUGAGUUUUAAGCACAAACAAUCGUACUAAACAACUUUUUUUUCAACCACAUGAUGGAAGACUCUGUGCCCCGACCUCUGAUAACCUGAAACUGGCAUCCAAGAAGGAAUUAAAAGUAGACAUGCAGUGGAUAAAGAACCUAAGGUCCCCAUUCCCAUCACAAAAAACCCAGGAUAAAGACAGACUUGAAUCAAGACAUCCAAUCACUGGGACAUGUGAAAGGUUCUCUUUGUACGACAGAUUCCACCAAAAAAAACAAAAACGGCCAGAAGAGAAGUUGCGAAGCCUUAACAUCUGCCCCAACCUGAGAACAGAGGUGAACUCAUCUGUUGCAGAGCAGUUCAAUCGUGAACUUGCUUCUGUGAGGUACUCAUUGUGCCAAAUGAAAGAGCCACAUUUUAAGCAGACAGUAAGGGUGUUCAUUGAUCUACACAAUGAAAAGAUUAACAGGAGUUUUAAGGCAGAAAUGGAGGCCUUGUGCAACAUGGAGUUAUCCAUUGGCCUGCAUGGGAUGCUGGGACUGCAGUCAGCUGAGGGGAAGGUUGGAAAUGUCAACAUACAACCUGACAGCGUUGUGAAGUCUUCCUUCUUGGCUCAAUCAUAUGACAUUGACGAUAAGGACAAGGAAAAACUCAAGAAGUUAUUAUGUGGAUCUCGUGAUGAAAAUCAAGCCCUGACUCAUUCCACAAGAAGAUACCCUGUGUCCAUUAAGGAUAUGCGCAGUGUUUGCCCACUCGAGUUGUUGGCAGAGUCUUCACUGGCUAUGCCAUGGCUGACAGAUGAUGCUGUCAACUAUCGCAUAGCACAGCUGGCUCAAGAAAACAUGGAAUGGACAAAGACUGGAGCUGUCGGAGACAACUUUGUGAAACACAUCCCUGUGUCUGACAAAAUCUUCCUGCCCAGGAUUGUAGGUCAUUCCUCUCCAGAGACAGGGAACCAUUUUAUUCUUUGGGUGUUUGACUUCAGAGCCAAAGACAUUCGGGUCUACGAUUCACUUGGGCUUUAUGCAAACAUAAGCGACAAUGACAUGGACCUCCUCAGAAAUGUCUUCAGAUUUUCUGGCGGCCUUCAAGGAUGGAGUGUGACAUAUCCUCCACAGUGGAAGCAGCAGGACUCGGUUAAUUGUGGAGUUUUCGUGUGUUCUGCAGCUGAAAAUGAAAUGCAACAUGUUGCAGUCAGUAUAGAGGCUCUGACUCUCAACCAGUGCAGGACUCUGCGGCUGCAUCAUGCUACCCAAAUGAUCAGAAAUGUCAAUGCUGAGGACUUCCCACUUACUACAGGAGACAAAUUAAAAAUGGAAGAAAAGGAAAGUAAAUUACAGGAAUCUGAAGCCAAAAAAACUGACUCCAGCAGCCAUUGCCAGGCUUGGAAAACAGAGUCGUGUUUGUUCCAGCGAGCAACAGGGACAACCAAUGUUUUCCAUAACCACAUAAAGAAAUACCAGUGGGUCCAAUGCUCAUCUUGCAAAAACUGGCUGCAUUUCGAGUGUGCUGGUGUAGAAGGAGACUGGACAUCAAAGGAUUUCUUUUGUGGAUGCAACAAUAUCCCAGAUAUAGACAACAUCCUGGAGGCUGUUAAAGCAGAAGACCUUAUGACAGAUGAAGAGAUCACGACAGACGAGAUUAUCCAGAGACUGGAAAAUAUACUGACAGUACCUGGAACUGUAGUUGAGAAGCAGCUAUUCAUAACAGAGGUCAUUUUGCCAGAGGUGUUGAUUCAGUGGUUGCAAGGCAACAGCAACAUGUGUCGUUACCAAGCAGAAUCUGUGCUUCUAACCACCACACCUUCAAAGACAAAGAAAGGAGCUGCAAGAAAUGAAACAGAGACCACCGAAGAGGAAAACCUUCUGAUCCUACAUAGCCUGGCUGCAGCUGACUGGUGCGAUAAGGCAACAUUCAAUGGAGGACUGAAACUCCCUGCUGUCCUUUCAAUGGACAGAGAAGAAAGAAAAGAAGCCAUCCAGGAGAUGGACACCUGGGAUGGGGAACUGGAUCAGGAUUCUCCAGCAGAACUCUUUACAUUUGUUUUUGAAAAAAAAAAAAGACUACGACAACUUCUAUGA
Molecule: long non-coding RNA, 3716 nt
Organism: Esox lucius (northern pike)
Lineage: Eukaryota; Metazoa; Chordata; Actinopteri; Esociformes; Esocidae
Exons: 24
Source: RefSeq, a predicted model, not a curated record